CAGGUUCAGGUUCAAUUUCAAUUUCAUUUUCAUUUUCAUGAUGUAUAGGGUCAUUUUCGUCAUUCCCAGGUAUAGGUGAAUUUAGCCUAGUCAGCUUCACCUCAGUCUGAAUACUCUUCUCAGUUUUAGAUUUGUUAGUUUCUUCGAUUUUCUGUUUUAGACAUGGCAUCUCAGAUUCAUUAAAGACUACAAUCCUGCUGUUAAUAAUCUUAAUG
Molecule: long non-coding RNA, 215 nt
Filed under: Olea europaea (common olive)
Lineage: Eukaryota; Viridiplantae; Streptophyta; Magnoliopsida; Lamiales; Oleaceae
Description: long non-coding RNA (OEUR_LNC006199)
Source: RNAcentral